GAUUUGAAGCACACAUGGCCGCUGAAUAGCCAUUACUUCCACUUACUUCACACCAACCUAUAUCUUGUUGGAUAGCAUUGACUAUGGCUGUAGGUUGUGCUGCUCCCAAUUUUAUGUUGCUAAACUGAGUGUUGAUCAAAUUUUGUAAUGCAAAAAAUUGUGUUGGUAAGGCUGUGAAUUGGUCCACCUUUAGUACACCCGCA
This 203-nucleotide long non-coding RNA is filed under the name Capsicum annuum. Its description in RNAcentral is "long non-coding RNA (CANN_LNC004991)". Lineage: Eukaryota; Viridiplantae; Streptophyta; Magnoliopsida; Solanales; Solanaceae. The record is from RNAcentral.